GAUGAACGCUAGCGGCAGGCCUAACACAUGCAAGUCGAGGGAGAAGCCCUUUCGGGGGCAGAAACCGGCGCACGGGUGCGUAACGCGUAUGCAACCUACCUUUCACAGGGGGAUAGCCCGAAGAAAUUUGGAUUAAUACCCCAUAAUAUUAUUGGAUGGCAUCAUUUGAUAAUUAAAACUGCGGUGGUGAAAGAUGGGCAUGCGUCCUAUUAGCUAGUUGGAGUGGUAACGGCACCCCAAGGCUACGAUAGGUAGGGGUCCUGAGAGGGAGAUCCCCCACACUGGUACUGAGACAGGGACCAGACUCCUACGGGAGGCAGCAGUGAGGAAUAUUGGUCAAUGGUCGGAAGACUGAACCAGCCAUGCCGCGUGCAGGAAGGAUGCCUUACGGGUUGUAAACUGCUUUUAUAUGGGAAGAAUAAGGUGUACGUGUACAUUGAUGACGGUACCAUAUGAAUAAGCAUCGGCUAACUCCGUG
This 478-nucleotide ribosomal RNA is filed under the name uncultured bacterium. RNAcentral describes it as "partial 16S ribosomal RNA". It matches the Rfam family "Bacterial small subunit ribosomal RNA", at positions 28 to 507 of the family's 1533-position model. The record is from RNAcentral.